RNAcentral lists this ribosomal RNA (256 nucleotides) under uncultured bacterium. Its description in RNAcentral is "partial small subunit ribosomal RNA". It matches the Rfam family "Bacterial small subunit ribosomal RNA", at positions 26 to 291 of the family's 1533-position model. The record is from RNAcentral.
AGGAUAAACGCUGGCGGCGUGCCUAAUCAAUGCGAGUCGAACGGGCACCUUCGGGUGUCAGUGGCGUCCGGGUGAGUAACGCGUAGCUAACCUGCCCACAGAUGGGGGAUACCCGCCAGAAAUGGCGGCUAAUACCGCAUAGCGUGACGAGGGGUGACCUUCGGCACGAAAGCAGCGAUGUGUCUGUGGAGGGGGCUGCGUCCGAUUAGCUAGUCGGUGGGGUAACGGCCUACCGAGGCGACGAUCGGUAGCUGGU